This 101-nucleotide small nuclear RNA is filed under the name Notamacropus eugenii (tammar wallaby). Lineage: Eukaryota; Metazoa; Chordata; Mammalia; Diprotodontia; Macropodidae. The record is from RNAcentral.
GUGCUUGCUUUGGCAGUACAUAUACUAAAAUUGGAAUGAUACAGAGUAGAUUAGGAUAACCCCUAGUGAUGGCAAUCAAAAUAGGAUCUUUCGCUGUUUUU